Molecule: non-coding RNA, 359 nt
Organism: Chelonoidis abingdonii (Abingdon island giant tortoise)
Lineage: Eukaryota; Metazoa; Chordata; Testudines; Testudinidae
Source: RefSeq, a predicted model, not a curated record
UUAAGACUGUACCCUGAGCCAGGUAGGGGGGAGGGGGUUAGCACCUGGGCCCGGGAAGCUGGAAAAAGGAAUCAGCCGGCUGGAGGAGGGGCAGUUCAGUUUUGGUUUUGGGCUGGAUGAUGGAAAUUCAGGGGAUCCUAUGCUGGGAUCCAAGUGCCCUGAACCCCGAGAAGGACUCGAUUGGGGGGUCCUGGUUGGGCCUCCAGGCUCUGCUGUAACCUACAUUCCUGCUGUCCAAUAAACCUUCUGUUUUACUGGCUGGCUGAGAGUCACUGUGAGUACCAGGAAGAGGGGUGCAAGACCGGAGUCCCUCACACUCCGUGACAGUUAUGAAUAUUGACUAUGUAUCUGUAUUUCAA